This 82-nucleotide transfer RNA is filed under the name Dreissena polymorpha. It matches the Rfam family "tRNA". Rfam says of the family: Transfer RNA (tRNA) molecules are approximately 80 nucleotides in length. The record is from Rfam by way of RNAcentral. Lineage: Eukaryota; Metazoa; Mollusca; Bivalvia; Myida; Dreissenidae.
GGUGCCGUAGCCUAGUGGUUAAGGCGAUAGACUAUAAAUCUUUUGAGAUAUUCUCGCGCAGGUUCUAAUCCUGCCGACGACG